RNAcentral lists this long non-coding RNA (224 nucleotides) under Vigna radiata. RNAcentral describes it as "long non-coding RNA (VRAD_LNC014898)". The record is from RNAcentral. Lineage: Eukaryota; Viridiplantae; Streptophyta; Magnoliopsida; Fabales; Fabaceae.
GGGGAACAAGUGUAAACACAGUAUACGCACACCCAAAACCAUUAAUUAAAUCCUCUUCUUGACUCCUUUAUUCACAAUUUUUUUUUUCUCAUUUUUCUGUAUUGUUUUUUCUUUUUUUUUUCAUCUUGUCUCUUUUCUUUUCACUCAAUAUUGGACAUAACUCUAAGAGACAUGAUAAACCAUGUAUUUACAAAAACACAAACAAGAAGAGGAACCAACCUAGC